GACGAACGCUGGCGGCGUGCUUAACACAUGCAAGUCGAACGGGUGCUCAGGGCUUGCUCUGGGUGUUAGUGGCGAACGGGUGAGUAACACGUGAGUAACCUGCCCCCUUCUUUGGGAUAACGUCGGGAAAUCGGCGCUAAUACUGGAUAUUCUGGCUUCACUGCAUGGUGGGGUUGGGAAAGGUUUUUCUGGUGGGGGAUGGGCUCGCGGCCUAUCAGCUUGUUGGUGGGGUGAUGGCCUACCAAGGCGGUGACGGGUAGCCGGCCUGAGAGGGUGUCCGGCCACACUGGGACUGAGACACGGCCCAGACUCCUACGGGAGGCAGCAGUGGGGAAUAUUGCACAAUGGGCGGAAGCCUGAUGCAGCGACGCCGCGUGAGGGAUGACGGCCUUCGGGUUGUAAACCUCUUUCAGUAGGGAACAAGGCUUUCGGGUUGAGGGUACCUGCAGAAGAAGCGCCGGCUAACUACGUGCCAGCAGCCGCGGUAAUACGUAGGGCGCGAGCGUUGUCCGGAAUUAUUGGGCGUAAAGAGCUCGUAGGCGGUUUGUCGCGUCUGCCGUGAAAUUCCAGGGCUUAACCCUGGUCGUGCGGUGGGUACGGGCAGACUAGAGUGCAGUAGGGGAGACUGGAAUUCCUGGUGUAGCGGUAAAAUGCGCAGAUAUCAGGAGGAACACCGGUGGCGAAGGCGGGUCUCUGGGCUGUUACUGACGCUGAGGAGCGAAAGCAUGGGGAGCGAACAGGAUUAGAUACCCUGGUAGUCCAUGCCGUAAACGUUGGGAACUAGGUGUGGGGUCCAUUCCACGGAUUCUGUGCCGGAGCUAACGCAUUAAGUUCCCCGCCUGGGGAGUACGGCCGCAAGGCUAAAACUCAAAGGAAUUGACGGGGGCCCGCACAAGCGGCGGAGCAUGCGGAUUAAUUCGAUGCAACGCGAAGAACCUUACCAAGGCUUGACAUGGACUUGAUGAACUCAGAGAUGGGUUUUCCGUAAGGCGGGUUCACAGGUGGUGCAUGGUUGUCGUCAGCUCGUGUCGUGAGAUGUUGGGUUAAGUCCCGCAACGAGCGCAACCCUUGUCUUGUGUUGCCAGCGGGUUAUGCCGGGGACUCAUGAGAGACUGCCGGGGUCAACUCGGAGGAAGGUGGGGAUGACGUCAAAUCAUCAUGCCCCUUAUGUCUUGGGCUUCACGCAUGCUACAAUGGCCGGUACAGAGGGCUGCGAUCCCGUGAGGGGGAGCGAAUCCCUAAAAGCCGGUCUCAGUUCGGAUUGGGGUCUGCAACUCGACCCCAUGAAGUCGGAGUCGCUAGUAAUCGCAGAUCAGCAACGCUGCGGUGAAUACGUUCUCGGGCCUUGUACACACCGCCCGUCACGUCACGAAAGUCGGUAACACCCGAAGCCCAUGGCCUAACCGGCUUGUCCGGGGGGAGUGGUCGAAGGUGGGACUGGUGAUUGGGACG
This 1452-nucleotide ribosomal RNA is filed under the name uncultured bacterium. RNAcentral describes it as "bacterial SSU rRNA". It matches the Rfam family "Bacterial small subunit ribosomal RNA". The record is from RNAcentral.